CUAUCAUGCAGUCGAGCGCGGGAAGCGAGUGGAUCCCUUCGGGGUGAAGCUCGUGGAACGAGCGGCGGACGGGUGAGUAACACGUGGGCAACCUGCCUGUAAGACCGGAAUAACCCCGGGAAACCGGGGCUAAUGCCGGGUAAUACUUUUCUUCGCAUGAAGGAAAGUUGAAAGAUGGCUUCUUGCUAUCACUUACAGAUGGGCCCGCGGCGCAUUAGCUAGUUGGUGAGGUAACGGCUCACCAAGGCGACGAUGCGUAGCCGACCUGAGAGGGUGAUCGGCCACACUGGGACUGAGACACGGCCCAGACUCCUACGGGAGGCAGCAGUAGGGAAUCUUCCGCAAUGGACGAAAGUCUGACGGAGCAACGCCGCGUGAACGAUGAAGGUCUUCGGAUCGUAAAGUUCUGUUGUUAGGGAAGAACAAGUACCGUGCGAAUAGAGCGGUACCUUGACGGUACCUAACGAGGAAGCCCCGGCUAACUACGUGCCAGCAGCCGCGGUAAUACGUAGGGGGCAAGCGUUGUCCGGAAUUAUUGGGCGUAAAGCGCGCGCAGGCGGUUCCUUAAGUCUGAUGUGAAAGCCCACGGCUCAACCGUGGAGGGUCAUUGGAAACUGGGGAACUUGAGGACAGAAGAGGAGAGUGGAAUUCCACGUGUAGCGGUGAAAUGCGUAGAUAUGUGGAGGAACACCAGUGGCGAAGGCGACUCUCUGGUCUGUUUCUGACGCUGAGGUGCGAAAGCGUGGGUAGCAAACAGGAUUAGAUACCCUGGUAGUCCACGCCGUAAACGAUGAGUGCUAGGUGUUAGGGGGCUUCCACCCCUUAGUGCUGAAGUUAACGCAU
This 843-nucleotide ribosomal RNA is filed under the name Halobacillus sp. HS253. RNAcentral describes it as "bacterial SSU rRNA". It matches the Rfam family "Bacterial small subunit ribosomal RNA", at positions 50 to 860 of the family's 1533-position model. Lineage: Bacteria; Bacillati; Bacillota; Bacilli; Caryophanales; Bacillaceae. The record is from RNAcentral.